CCACAUGACAACCGCACUUUCGGAAACCUGUCAAAGGCUAAACAAUACUCAAUCAUUAUGGGGAUCCCCCAUUUUCAAGCCAAAUUCCACCCCAAAUUCUCCCGCCACCCGCGCCUUUUCACAACGAGCAAUGUUCAUGUCUGAAAAUGCAAAUUGCAGACAAUCAAUGACCACAGGCAACAAAGGGCCAGCCAGAUACACCAGAUACACCACCACCCAGCAGUGCCAAGGAAAGCCCAACCCAAUCAGGUGUUGAGCUAGUGUAAUUUAUGCCUGGUCUGCUUCAAUUGUUUGUUGGAUCCAAGCAUAUCGGGCCGUCUGGCAAAUUAAAGUCCUUGGAAUCCUUGUGAGUGGAAACUGGAAUUCCGAGAGACUGGCAAAUAAUUAAUGCCCUACACAAUGUGCAAGAUGGGGCGAUGUUUUGGGGGUGAGUAGACAGAGGAACGGUUUAGACACGCUCUUGGCACUUUGCGGUUGCACUUGAUUCGCUUGCGUAAUGCAACAAAGAUGCAUCUAACUUAAUUAGCAACCAAAUGGCAAGAAGGAGACCUCCGCACUCUGAAAUCGGAUUUCUUGGCCAAUGCUUUGGGGUUUCUUUGGUUUUUCGGACUACCCACUCUUGACUAUCUCCUUUUGUGGCAUGUUUUCAAGUCCCCGUGUCUGACAGAUAUUUUCCGACACACAAAACAGAAUGGGAAUGGUAAAAGCAAUUAGCAAAUAAAGGGAAAUUCAAAUGAACUAGUCCUAGUCAAGGACUGACCUUGAUAAUUCCCAGCACAGAUUUUCCCAGCGAAGUUUUCACUGCUGCAGUUUAAAAAUCCCCCUCGGAAAAAGCUUAAAAACUGCACAACGAAGAGGAAAAACUUUUGCAAUAACUCUUUGCGUGGAGGGAAAAUUGUUGCUCGCUGGUCUGAAAAUCUGCGAGCAGCCAUAAAAUAUUGUUGUUACACGGGCUUUUCCCCUUGCUUGCAACCCCGGGUAUGAAAACAAAAUUAACGCAAUGCAUCGAUGUCCGAGUAAGUCCGGCGGAUUGGAAGAGCCAGAACGGGGCGUGAAAACCGCGUAAUAAUAAAAUAUGAUACGAAAACCUUGUAAAGCGACUUUCAGACAAUUUAUAACGGCCAGCUGCAGUCGGAGGACGAAGGAAAACUGGGGUUUUGAACCCCUCUUCCGUUUGGUUUUCCAUUUAAGAGUAGGGAUUGGCAAAAAUAAGGGGGGCAAAACACAAUGUAAUAGUGUGAUAUUGGAUUUGGCAAAGCCAAUAGCAUAACAUGUGCGGAAUAAUUGAAGGAAACUAAGUUUGGUCUAAAUGAUACCAUUAAAGACAAACGGAAAAUGGAUUAUGAAGUUUUGAAAUGGGAUUAAGCUAGUACAGUAAUGAUUUAACUUUAAACUUAACCUUCACUUCUUUAAAUUCUA
Molecule: RNA transcript, 1419 nt
Organism: Drosophila teissieri
Lineage: Eukaryota; Metazoa; Arthropoda; Insecta; Diptera; Drosophilidae
Exons: 3
Source: RefSeq, a predicted model, not a curated record